RNAcentral lists this ribosomal RNA (499 nucleotides) under uncultured Glomeromycotina. RNAcentral's name for it is "partial small subunit ribosomal RNA". It matches the Rfam family "Eukaryotic small subunit ribosomal RNA", at positions 591 to 1092 of the family's 1831-position model. Lineage: Eukaryota; Fungi; Glomeromycota. The record is from RNAcentral.
CCAAUAGCGUAUAUUAAAGUUGUUGCAGUUAAAAAGCUCGUAGUUGAAUUUCGGGAUCGAAUUGUUGGUCGUGCUUCGGUACGCACUGGCAUUAUCGGUUCCUACCUUCUGAAGAACCGCGAUGUCAUUAAUUUGGUGUCGUGGGGAAUCAGGACUGUUACUUUGAAAAAAUUAGAGUGUUUAAAGCAGGCUUACGCUUGAAUACAUUAGCAUGGAAUAAUGAAAUAGGACGUUUGAUUCUAUUUUGUUGGUUUCUAGGAUCGACGUAAUGAUUAAUAGGGAUAGUUGGGGGCAUUAGUAUUCAAUUGUCAGAGGUGAAAUUCUUGGAUUUAUUGAAGACUAACUACUGCGAAAGCAUUUGCCAAGGAUGUUUUCAUUAACCAAGAACGAAAGUUAGGGGAUCGAAGACGAUCAGAUACCGUCGUAGUCUUAACCAUAAACUAUGCCGACUAGGGAUCGGAUGAUGUUAAUUUUAUAAUGACUCAUUCGGCGCCUUACG